This 548-nucleotide ribosomal RNA is filed under the name fungal sp. HU7_(7E). RNAcentral describes it as "eukaryotic LSU rRNA". The stretch from base 192 to 345 matches the Rfam family "5.8S ribosomal RNA". The record is from RNAcentral. Lineage: Eukaryota; Fungi.
GGAUCAUUACCGAGUGUAGGGUUCCUAGCGAGCCCAACCUCCCACCCGUGUUUACUGUACCUUAGUUGCUUCGGCGGGCCCGCCAUUCAUGGCCGCCGGGGGCUCUCAGCCCCGGGCCCGCGCCCGCCGGAGACACCACGAACUCUGUCUGAUCUAGUGAAGUCUGAGUUGAUUGUAUCGCAAUCAGUUAAAACUUUCAACAAUGGAUCUCUUGGUUCCGGCAUCGAUGAAGAACGCAGCGAAAUGCGAUAACUAGUGUGAAUUGCAGAAUUCCGUGAAUCAUCGAGUCUUUGAACGCACAUUGCGCCCCCUGGUAUUCCGGGGGGCAUGCCUGUCCGAGCGUCAUUGCUGCCCAUCAAGCACGGCUUGUGUGUUGGGUCGUCGUCCCCUCUCCGGGGGGGACGGGCCCCAAAGGCAGCGGCGGCACCGCGUCCGAUCCUCGAGCGUAUGGGGCUUUGUCACCCGCUCUGUAGGCCCGGCCGGCGCUUGCCGAACGCAAAUCAAUCUUUUUCCAGGUUGACCUCGGAUCAGGUAGGGAUACCCGCUGA